This 506-nucleotide ribosomal RNA is filed under the name uncultured bacterium. RNAcentral's name for it is "partial 16S ribosomal RNA". It matches the Rfam family "Bacterial small subunit ribosomal RNA", at positions 29 to 523 of the family's 1533-position model. The record is from RNAcentral.
AGUGAACGCUGGCGGUAGGCCUAACACAUGCAAGUCGAACGGCAGCACAGGAGAGCUUGCUCUCUGGGUGGCGAGUGGCGGGCGGGUGAGGAAUACAUCGGAAUCUACUCUGUCGUGGGGGAUAACGUAGGGAAACUUACGCUAAUACCGCAUACGACCUACGGGUGAAAGCAGGGGAUCUUCGGACCUUGCGCGAUUGAAUGAGCCGAUGUCGGAUUAGCUAGUUGGCGGGGUAAAGGCCCACCAAGGCGACUAUCCGUAGCUGGUCUGAGAGGAUGAUCAGCCACACUGGAACUGGGACACGGUCCAGACUCCUACGGGAGGCAGCAGUGGGGAAUAUUGGACAAUGGGCGCAAGCCUGAUCCAGCCAUACCGCGUGGGUGAAGAAGGCCUUCGGGUUGUAAAGCCCUUUUGUUGGGAAAGAAAUCCAGCUGGCUAAUACCCGGUUGGGAUGACGGUACCCAAAGAAUAAGCACCGGCUAACUUCGUGCCAGCAGCCGCCGUAA